This 119-nucleotide ribosomal RNA is filed under the name Salmo salar (Atlantic salmon). Lineage: Eukaryota; Metazoa; Chordata; Actinopteri; Salmoniformes; Salmonidae. The record is from RNAcentral.
GCUUACGUCCAUAUCAGCCUGGGUACGCCCGAUCUCGUCUGAUCUCGGAAGCUAAGCAGGGUCGGGCCUGGUUAGUACUUGGAUGGGAGACCGCCUGGGAAUACCAGGUGCUGUAAGAA